This 274-nucleotide ribosomal RNA is filed under the name uncultured bacterium. RNAcentral describes it as "partial 16S ribosomal RNA". It matches the Rfam family "Bacterial small subunit ribosomal RNA", at positions 523 to 796 of the family's 1533-position model. The record is from RNAcentral.
AUACGAAGGGUGCAAGCGUUAAUCGGAAUUACUGGGCUUAAAGGGUGCGUAGGCGGCGCGGUCAGUUGGGUGUGAAAUCCCUCGGCUCAACCGAGGAACUGCGCCCAAUACUACCGUGCUCGAGGGAGACAGAGGCGAGCGGAACUGAUGGUGGAGCGGUGAAAUGCGUUGAUAUCAUCAGGAACACCAGUGGCGAAAGCGGCUCGCUGGGUCUCUUCUGACGCUGAGGCACGAAAGCUAGGGUAGCGAACAGGAUUAGAAACCCCAGUAGUCC